RNAcentral lists this transfer RNA (73 nucleotides) under Candidatus Woesearchaeota archaeon. RNAcentral's name for it is "tRNA-Gln". It matches the Rfam family "tRNA". From Rfam's summary of the family: Transfer RNA (tRNA) molecules are approximately 80 nucleotides in length. Their secondary structure includes four short double-helical elements and three loops (D, anti-codon, and T loops). Lineage: Archaea; Nanobdellati; Candidatus Woesearchaeota. The record is from RNAcentral.
AGCCCUGUAGUGUAGUGGCCAAUCAUCCAGGAUUUUGGGUCCUGGGACCUCGGUUCAAAUCCGGGCAGGGCUA